Long non-coding RNA from Gallus gallus (chicken), 1815 nucleotides. The record is from Ensembl. NCBI's taxonomy places the organism in Eukaryota, Metazoa, Chordata, Aves, Galliformes, Phasianidae.
UUACUGCUAAGUGGUUUACAGAGCCAAAACCAUUCUCAGCGAAGUGCCCAAGGAGCUGGGAGGGAACAGAAUUAGAACAGCUGACUUUCACUGGUUAGAGGGAUAUCUCAUACCAUAUGACAUCCAGCAGAAGGAGUUUUGAAGGAGGUAGGAGUUCAUCUCUCUCUUCUGCUGCUCGGGAGGCUAGCUGGGAAUCAAUCGGUGAGCUGUGAGUAAUUGCUUGUGCAUCACUUGCUAUAUACAUUAAUGCAUAAAUUGAGAGAGAAACAUAACUAUUAUCCUUUUCUCUUUUACUAAAUUUUAUUUCAACCCCCGAGUUCUACUUUAUUUAUUUAUCCCUCCCCCCACCCCCAAUUCCCUCCUCCAUCCCACAGGGGAGGGAAGGGAAUAAGCUAACAACUGUGUGGUGAUAAGCUUCCUGCUGGGUUCAACCACAACAGCUAAAUCUGGAGUUUUAUUUUAUUUUUUCACAUUUCUACUGCUCCACUCACAAACAUUCUGGGCAGCGAGAAUACAGCAUAUAUAUGAAGCCUAGAAUUAAUUGUUUAUACAGUUAAUGAUUUAAUAAUCUAGUAACCCACAUUACCUAAUUAAUUCAGAAAAGUCUCAUUAAAACAAGUUAAACAGCUAUAUAUUGCUACAGAAUGCCUCUGAAGUAUCAGUUCCUUUUCCCUGGUGUUUUGCUCAAUUUCUCAGUGUCCUUCUGUGCACCACCUAAGAAUGACUAUUGCAAUCUCCCUCUUGAAAGAAAGAGGAUAAGAAUAAAUUGUCUCCACUCUGAGCUCUUUGUUGGUAAUCAUUUCUUCCUCUUCAGUCUUAGGUCCAUUUUUACUGAUUUUUCUAUUUUGGUGUUGCAGUUCACUUCCUUCCCGUGCAUGUCCAGCUGAGCUUUGAAAGUUGCUCAGUAGAUUCCACAGAAUCACAAAAUUGUAGGAGCUGGAAAGGACCUCCAGAGAUCAUCAAAAUAAGCUCAGUGUAGCAUGAUUCAUAGCGUACUGUUGAUACCCUGCACCUUCUGCUUAAAAUAAGGACUCCUUCCAAUUAUGAAAAAUAUCAUAUUAAUUGAGCUACAUUUUGCAUGAUUAUUCCCUGGGAAGAUGAGAACUUCUUGCUUCACUGUACCGUAAGAAUUCAUCUGGAACAGAUCCAAUUAGGAGUGACUUUAUGGUAUACAGAGACACUGGUCUGAUGAAUUUCUAAUGUCAAACAUAUAUGCUUUACAGCAGCAUUUAUUGGUAGCUAGCACUACUCACAUCUAGUUCCAAAAGUCUGUCUCAGGUACUGCAAUUGGUGGAUGGAAUAAGGACUUGUUAUGGGAGUCUUUUGGAGUGUAGCAAGCAAUACCUAUGUACAAAUAGUUACAAGAUUUGAAGCUCCAAAACAGCAAGCCAGCGAGGAUGAUUAUCUCAUUCAUUUCCUGUAGUUGCUGACAAGUUGGUCCAAUGGACACUCACAUAGGAACAGAAAGAAGACUAUAUGCAAGUUUCUCAGGACCUAUGGAACAAAUAAGAGGUUGCAGGUGGAAGUUUCCUGGAUUGCAUCAUUACCAGUGAUGACAUGUGGUGUCACCCCUAAGAGCUGGAGUCAAAACAGUAGUCCAUGAAGUGCCAGCACGUGAAUUCCCAUCAAGAAAAAAAGUACAAGAGUCAACCUCAGCAGGGUACAUUUGGAUCUGAGAGACAGGAUGUCUUAGGAGCAGAAACAAGCAAACUACGCACUCAGAGAGGCACAGAGGUUUAUGAGUUUCAGUUGACAUAAACACGCUUACAAGGACACAGGCAUCCAUUUUAGAUAAUCCCAGUAAGUGGCAAGCAG